This 503-nucleotide ribosomal RNA is filed under the name uncultured Lachnospiraceae bacterium. Its description in RNAcentral is "bacterial SSU rRNA". It matches the Rfam family "Bacterial small subunit ribosomal RNA", at positions 8 to 507 of the family's 1533-position model. Lineage: Bacteria; Bacillati; Bacillota; Clostridia; Lachnospirales; Lachnospiraceae. The record is from RNAcentral.
AGAGUUUGAUCCUGGCUCAGGAUGAACGCUGGCGGCGUGCUUAACACAUGCAAGUCGAACGGGGAUGCUUAUGGAAGGAGUGCUUGCACUUUGGAAAUGAGUAUCUUAGUGGCGGACGGGUGAGUAACGCGUGGGUAACCUGCCCCAUACCGGGGGAUACCACCUGGAAACAGGUGCUAAUACCGCAUAAGCGCACGGGAGCGCAUGCUCCUGUGUGAAAAACUCCGGUGGUAUGGGAUGGACCCGCGUCUGAUUAGCCAGUUGGCAGGGUAACGGCCUACCAAAGCGACGAUCAGUAGCCGGCCUGAGAGGGUGGACGGCCACAUUGGGACUGAGACACGGCCCAAACUCCUACGGGAGGCAGCAGUGGGGAAUAUUGCACAAUGGGGGAAACCCUGAUGCAGCGACGCCGCGUGAGUGAAGAAGUAUUUCGGUAUGUAAAGCUCUAUCAGCAGGAACGAGACAAGACGGUACCUGACUAAGAAGCCCCGGCUAACUACGUG